CGCGUAGGCGGGAUGGCAAGUCGGUCGUGAAAUCCUUCGGCUCAACCGAAGAACGUCGAUCGAUACUGCUGUUCUUGAGGAUUGCAGAGGAGACUGGAAUUCCCGGUGUAGCGGUGAAAUGUGUAGAGAUCGGGAGGAACACCGGUGGCGAAGGCGGGUCUCUGGGCAAUUCCUGACGCUGAGGCGCGAAAGCGUGGGGAGCAAACGGGAUUAGAUACCCCGGUAGUCCACGCUGUAAACGAUGACGACUAGGUGUGGGGGGGUUCAGUCCCUUCCGUGCCGCAGCUAACGCAUUAAGUCGUCCGCCUGGGGAGUACGGCCGCAAGGUUGAA
Molecule: ribosomal RNA, 332 nt
Filed under: uncultured bacterium
Lineage: Bacteria
Description: bacterial SSU rRNA
Rfam family: Bacterial small subunit ribosomal RNA
Source: RNAcentral